RNAcentral lists this ribosomal RNA (467 nucleotides) under uncultured bacterium. RNAcentral's name for it is "partial 16S ribosomal RNA". It matches the Rfam family "Bacterial small subunit ribosomal RNA", at positions 28 to 507 of the family's 1533-position model. The record is from RNAcentral.
GACGAACGCUGGCGGCGUGCUUAACACAUGCAAGUCGAACGGAAAGGCCUCUUUCGGGGGGUACUCUAGUGGCGAACGGGUGAGUAACACGUGAGUAACCUGCCCUUGACUUUUGGAUAACUUCAGGAAACUGGGGCUAAUACCGCAUAGGAGCUCCUGCUGCAUGGUGGGGGUUGUAAAGUUUCGGCGGUUGGGGGUGGACUCGCGGGUUUUCAGCUUUUUGGUGGGGUAGUGGCUUACCAAGGGUUUGACGGGGAGGCGGGCCGAGAGGGUGAACGGCCACAAUGGGACUGAGAUAAGGCCCAGACUCCUAAGGGAGGCAGCAGUGGGGAAUAAUGCAAAAUGGGUGGAAGCCUGAUGCAGCAACGCCGUGGGCGGGAGGACGGCCUUCGGGUUGUAAACCGCUUUCGCUCAGGACGAAGCUUUGUGUGACGGUAGUGGGUAAAGAAGCACCGGCUAACUACGUG